AGCAGCCGCCGCGGUAAUACGUAGGGUGCGAGCGUUAAUCGGAAUUACUGGGCGUAAAGCGUGCGCAGGCGGUUAUGUAAGACAGAUGUGAAAUCCCCGGGCUCAACCUGGGACCUGCAUUUGUGACUGUAUAGCUAGAGUACGGUAGAGGGGGAUGGAAUUCCGCGUGUAGCAGUGAAAUGCGUAGAUAUGCGGAGGAACACCGAUGGCGAAGGCAAUCCCCUGGACCUGUACUGACGCUCAUGCACGAAAGCGUGGGGAGCAAACAGGAUUAGAUACCCGCGUAGUCCCUGUCUCUUAUAA
RNAcentral lists this ribosomal RNA (303 nucleotides) under uncultured bacterium. RNAcentral describes it as "partial 16S ribosomal RNA". It matches the Rfam family "Bacterial small subunit ribosomal RNA", at positions 507 to 809 of the family's 1533-position model. The record is from RNAcentral.